RNAcentral lists this ribosomal RNA (292 nucleotides) under uncultured prokaryote. Its description in RNAcentral is "partial 16S ribosomal RNA". It matches the Rfam family "Bacterial small subunit ribosomal RNA", at positions 505 to 796 of the family's 1533-position model. The record is from RNAcentral.
GUGUCAGCAGCCGCGGUAAUACAGAGGGUGCGAGCGUUAAUCGGAUUUACUGGGCGUAAAGCGUGCGUAGGCGGCUUUUUAAGUCGGAUGUGAAAUCCCUGAGCUUAACUUAGGAAUUGCAUUCGAUACUGGGAAGCUAGAGUAUGGGAGAGGAUGGUAGAAUUCCAGGUGUAGCGGUGAAAUGCGUAGAGAUCUGGAGGAAUACCGAUGGCGAAGGCAGCCAUCUGGCCUAAUACUGACGCUGAGGUACGAAAGCAUGGGGAGCAAACAGGAUUAGAAACCCCCGUAGUCC